GAAUUCUCCAAAAAGAAUUUCAAAUAACAAAAACAAUGAUUGAGAACUCAACAAUUUCACAGAAAAAAAUAUUAAAGCCCCAGACCAGGCCCAGUGGGACCUUGAAUACAUACUGUAUUUCUUUAAUUCAUGAAUGUACCAUUGGAAUAUAUAUAAUCAACAAUGAUGGAACCUCAUACUGGCUUCUCACCUGUUACACUAGAAAGGACUAAAUGGAAAGAAACUUCUGGAAUUCCUCUCAAUACCAAGAGUAAAUGAAAAGAAAUACCACAUCCCUGGGGGAACCAUAGUGACAAAUGUCAUAAGAAGCCACUUGAAAGAGGUGGAGAAACUGAUUCCUGUUGCUUCCUGACAUAACUCUCUACUAUACUUGGAGAAUUCUGUAGGUGAAGAUUAUCUGAUAAAUGGCUCUUCAAAGUAUAUCUUAAAUCAGAAAUGACCUAAGAAAUUCCGAUUGUUGGUAAAUUAAUUUAAAAAGAACUUAAUGGAAAGGGGCUUCAAGAUGGCUGAGUAGAGCCGCCUGGCAUUUGCCUCCUCCACAAAAAAGGACCAAAACAAUACAAGCAUAGAAGCCAAAUUUGGAACUACUAGAGCCUCUUGGGAAUGUAGCCCAAUGGGAGGAAAGCAGACAUAUGGAAGAGAGUUUUAGGAUAUUUAUGCUUCUUCACAAACAACACAUGUUUCCAGAUUUAAAAAGCUUUGGAACCCGGUUGAUUUUCAGAAUGCUAUCAAUUUUAGUACGAUUGCGCAAACAGAACCAAAGAAA
RNAcentral lists this long non-coding RNA (766 nucleotides) under Pan troglodytes (chimpanzee). RNAcentral describes it as "lincRNA". Lineage: Eukaryota; Metazoa; Chordata; Mammalia; Primates; Hominidae. The record is from RNAcentral.